AGGCCCCCCUCGGUCAUGACUGACCAUGGGUAAUGCAUCCUAGUUGUUGGCUGCUUGCUCCAAACCUCGGCUGGAGCAGCGUCGCUUGUGGCUGACGAGACCAAAGCGGGAGUGACAGUCUGUUGAGUUACUCCAGCUUUUUGUGUC
This is a long non-coding RNA of Amblyraja radiata (thorny skate), 147 nucleotides long. RefSeq lists it as uncharacterized. Lineage: Eukaryota; Metazoa; Chordata; Chondrichthyes; Rajiformes; Rajidae. The transcript has 3 exons. The record is from RefSeq and is a predicted model, not a curated record.